AUGGCCUGGGUUCCUCUCCUCCUUACCCUCCUCAUUCACUGCAGAGGGUCUUUGGCUCAGCCUGUCCUAACUCAGCCAUCAGCAAUGUCCGGGUCUGUGGGGCAGACAGUCACCAUCUCCUGCACUGGAAGCAGCAGUAAUGUUGGACGUGGAUAUCCAUACUGGUUCCAGCAGUUCCCUGGCAGUGUCCCCAGACUCCUCAUCUAUGAUGCUGAUAAGAGACCUUCAGGUAUUCAAGACCGAUUCUCAGGCUCCAGGUCAGGGAACACAGCCUUCUUGAGCAUCUCUGGGCUCCAGUCUGAGGAUGAGGGUAAUUAUUAUUGCUUUGCCUGGGACAACAGCAAUAAUGCUAACACAGUGCUCCAGGCCAGUGGGGAAGUGAGACAAAAACAGUGA
Molecule: non-coding RNA, 396 nt
Organism: Elephantulus edwardii (Cape elephant shrew)
Lineage: Eukaryota; Metazoa; Chordata; Mammalia; Macroscelidea; Macroscelididae
Source: the annotation of a RefSeq genome assembly